UACGUAGGGCGCAAGCGUUGUCCGGAAUUAUUGGGCGUAAAGAGCUCGUAGGCGGCCUGUCGCGUCCGCUGUGAAAUCCCGGGGCUUAACCCCGGGCGUGCAGUGGAUACGGGCAGGCUCGAGUUCGGUAGGGGAGACUGGAAUUCCUGGUGUAGCGGUGAAAUGCGCAGAUAUCAGGAGGAACACCGGUGGCGAAGGCGGGUCUCUGGGCCGAUACUGACGCUGAGGAGCGAAAGCGUGGGGAGCGAACAGG
Molecule: ribosomal RNA, 253 nt
Filed under: uncultured bacterium
Lineage: Bacteria
Description: partial 16S ribosomal RNA
Rfam family: Bacterial small subunit ribosomal RNA
Source: RNAcentral